CACGUAGGGGGCGAGCGUUGUCCGGAUUUAUUGGGCGUAAAGGGCGCGUAGGCGGCCACGCACGUCCGUUGUGAAAUCGCCCGGCUCAACUGGGCGGGGUCAGCGGAUACGGUGUGGCUAGAGCAAGCUAGGGGGCAAUGGAAUUCCCGGUGUAGUGGUGGAAUGCGUAGAUAUCGGGAGGAACACCAGUGGCGAAGGCGGUUGCCUGGAGCUUUGCUGACGCUGAUGCGCGAAAGCGUGGGGAGCGAUCCGG
Molecule: ribosomal RNA, 253 nt
Filed under: uncultured bacterium
Lineage: Bacteria
Description: partial 16S ribosomal RNA
Rfam family: Bacterial small subunit ribosomal RNA
Source: RNAcentral